Molecule: ribosomal RNA, 501 nt
Filed under: uncultured bacterium
Lineage: Bacteria
Description: bacterial SSU rRNA
Rfam family: Bacterial small subunit ribosomal RNA
Source: RNAcentral
CUGAGUUUUGAUCCUGGCUCAGAUUGAACGCUGGCGGCAUGCCUUACACAUGCAAGUCGAACGGAUUCUUGGGGCUUGCUCCAGGAGUUAGUGGCGAACGGGUGAGUAAUGCAUCGGAACGUGCCUCGUUGUGGGGGAUAACUAAUCGAAAGGUUAGCUAAUACCGCAUACGACCUGAGGGUGAAAGCAGGGGAUUCGCAAGAACCUUGCGCAAUGAGAGCGGCCGAUGCCGGAUUAGCUAGUUGGUGGGGUAAAAGCUCACCAAGGCGACGAUCCGUAGCUGGUCUGAGAGGAUGAUCAGCCACACUGGGACUGAGACACGGCCCAGACUCCUACGGGAGGCAGCAGUGGGGAAUUUUGGACAAUGGGCGAAAGCCUGAUCCAGCCAUGCCGCGUGAGUGAAGAAGGCCUUUGGGUUGUAAAGCUCUUUCAGACGGAAAGAAAAUGGCCGGGAUAAUACCCCGGUCAGAUGACGGUACCGUAAGAAGAAGCACCGGCUAA